This 439-nucleotide ribosomal RNA is filed under the name uncultured bacterium. RNAcentral's name for it is "partial 16S ribosomal RNA". It matches the Rfam family "Bacterial small subunit ribosomal RNA", at positions 338 to 795 of the family's 1533-position model. The record is from RNAcentral.
CCUACGGGUGGCUGCAGUGGGGAAUAUUGCACAAUGGGGGAAACCCUGAUGCAGCGACGCCGCGUGAGUGAAGAAGUAUCUCGGUACGUAAAGCUCUAUCAGCAGGGACGAAAAUGACGGUACCUGACAAAGAAGCCCCGGCUAACUACGUGCCAGCAGCCGCGGUAAUACGUAGGGGGCAAGCGUUAUCCGGAUUUACUGGGUGUAAUGGGAGCGUAGACGGAAGACUAAGUUGGAGGUGAAAUCCCGGGGCUAACCCCCGAGCUGCGUUGGAAAAUGUGCGGCUUGAGUGGAGGAGGGGUAGGCGGAAUUCCUAGUGUAGCGGUGAAAUGCGUAGAUAUUAGGAGGAACACCGGUGGCGAAGGCGGCUUACUGGGCUUUAACUGACGUUGAGGCUCGAAAGCGUGGGUAGCAAACAGGAUUAGAUACCCGAGUAGUC